AGAGUUUGAUCCUGGCUCAGGAUGAACGCUGGCGGCGUGUUUUAGGCAUGCAAGUCGAACGGGCACUUCGGUGUCCGUGGCAAACGGGUGCGUAACACAUUGGUAACCUGCCUCGAAGACGGGCACAACCUCGGGAAACCGAGGAUAAUACCCGAUACCUCUACUACUCGCAGGAGUAAUAGGGAAACGGUUUACUACUUCGAGAGGGACCUAUGGCUUAUCAGCUUGUUGGUGAGGUAAUGGCUCACCAAGGCUAUGACGAGUAGCGGGUGUGAAAGCACGACCCGCCUCACUGGGACUGAGACACUGCCCAGACUCCUACGGGAGGCUGCAGUCGAGAAUAUUCCCCAAUGGACGAAAGUCUGAGGGAGCGACGCCGCGUGAUGGAAGACGCUCUUCGGAGUGUAAACAUCUUUUCUUAGGGAACAAAGCAAUUGAGUGUACCUGAGGAAUAAGGGGCUGCUAACUUCGUGCCAGCAGCAGCGGUAAUACGAAGGCCCCGAGCGUUAUCCGGAUUUAUUGGGCGUAAAGCGUUCAAAGGUGGUUUUGUGUGUCAUUGGUUAAAUCCUACGGCUCAACCGUGGGACCGCCAAUGAAACCGCAAGACUUGAGGGUGGGAGAGGUAUGCGGAACUACCGGUGUAGUAGUAAAAUGCGUUAAUAUCGGUAGGAACACCAAUGGCGAAGGCAGCAUACUGGAACAUCUCUGACACUAAAGAACGAAAGCGUGGGUAGCGAAUGGGAUUAGAUACCCCAGUAGUCCACGCCGUAAACGAUGAUCACUA
This 784-nucleotide ribosomal RNA is filed under the name uncultured bacterium. RNAcentral describes it as "bacterial SSU rRNA". It matches the Rfam family "Bacterial small subunit ribosomal RNA", at positions 8 to 818 of the family's 1533-position model. The record is from RNAcentral.